Molecule: transfer RNA, 72 nt
Filed under: Camelus bactrianus (Bactrian camel)
Lineage: Eukaryota; Metazoa; Chordata; Mammalia; Artiodactyla; Camelidae
Also listed under: 2 other names
Rfam family: tRNA
About the family: Transfer RNA (tRNA) molecules are approximately 80 nucleotides in length. Their secondary structure includes four short double-helical elements and three loops (D, anti-codon, and T loops).
Source: Rfam by way of RNAcentral
GGGAGUAUAGCUCAGUGGUAGAGCAUAUGCUUAGCAUUCAUGAGGCACUGGGUUCAAUCCCCAGUACCUCCA